This 320-nucleotide unclassified non-coding RNA is filed under the name plant metagenome. Its description in RNAcentral is "partial contains 5.8S ribosomal RNA, internal transcribed spacer 2, and large subunit ribosomal RNA". The stretch from base 1 to 105 matches the Rfam family "5.8S ribosomal RNA", at positions 50 to 154 of the family's 154-position model. The record is from RNAcentral.
GAAAUGCGAUAAGUAAUGUGAAUUGCAGAAUUCAGUGAAUCAUCGAAUCUUUGAACGCACAUUGCGCCCGCCAGUAUUCUGGCGGGCAUGCCUGUUCGAGCGUCAUUACAACCCUCAGGUCCCGGGGCCUGGCGUUGGGGAUCGGCGGAAGCCCCCUGCGGGCACAACGCCGUCCCCCAAAUACAGUGGCGGUCCCGCCGCAGCUUCCAUUGCGUAGUAGCUAACACCUCGCAACUGGAGAGCGGCGCGGCCACGCCGUAAAACACCCAACUUCUGAAUGUUGACCUCGAAUCAGGUAGGAAUACCCGCUGAACUUAAGC